This 484-nucleotide ribosomal RNA is filed under the name uncultured bacterium. RNAcentral's name for it is "partial 16S ribosomal RNA". It matches the Rfam family "Bacterial small subunit ribosomal RNA", at positions 30 to 507 of the family's 1533-position model. The record is from RNAcentral.
AUUGAACGCUGGCGGCAGGCCUAACACAUGCAAGUCGAGCGGAGGAAGGGGGCUUGCUCCUGGAUUCAGCGGCGGACGGGUGAGUAAUGCCUAGGAAACUGCCUGGUGGUGGGGGAUAACGUCCGGAAACGGGCGCUAAUACCGCAUACGUCCUGAGGGAGAAAGUGGGGGAUCUUCGGACCUCACGCUAUCAGAUGAGCCUAGGUCGGAUUAGCUAGUUGGUGGGGUAAAGGCCUACCAAGGCGACGAUCCGUAACUGGUCUGAGAGGAUGAUCAGUCACACUGGAACUGAGACACGGUCCAGACUCCUACGGGAGGCAGCAGUGGGGAAUAUUGGACACUGGGCGACAGCCUGAUCCAGCCAUGCCGCGUGUGUGAAGAAGGUCUUCGGAUUGUAAAGCACUUUAAGUUGGGAGGAAGGGCAGUAAGUUAAUACCUUGCUGUUUUGACGUUACCAACAGAAUAAGCACCGGCUAACUUCGUG